RNAcentral lists this unclassified non-coding RNA (250 nucleotides) under plant metagenome. RNAcentral's name for it is "partial contains small subunit ribosomal RNA, internal transcribed spacer 1, and 5.8S ribosomal RNA". The record is from RNAcentral.
GUAGGUGAACCUGCGGAAGGAUCAUUAACUCAUAUAUGUUGCUGUCUCACGACAGUGGCACUAUAUUCACAAACCAAAAUUUACCAAUCCGUGAACUAUAUAAUCAAUGAGAACGUGAUAAUUCAUAUGUAUAUGGCGUCGGAGUCUUCGUGCAUAUAAUUGUCAUUUGAAUACCACUUCCAUUAUUAACCAAUAUUAACCCAUUACCGUAAUGUUGUUUUGCUUCAAAGCCAAGGCAGCAUACUAAAAC